ACUCCUACGGGAGGCAGCAGUGGGGAAUAUUGGACAAUGGGCGCAAGCCUGAUCCAGCCAUGCCGCGUGAGUGAUGAAGGUCUUAGGAUUGUAAAGCUCUUUCACCGGUGAAGAUAAUGACGGUAACCGGAGAAGAAGCCCCGGCUAACUUCGUGCCAGCAGCCGCGGUAAU
RNAcentral lists this ribosomal RNA (172 nucleotides) under uncultured soil bacterium. Its description in RNAcentral is "partial 16S ribosomal RNA". It matches the Rfam family "Bacterial small subunit ribosomal RNA", at positions 335 to 524 of the family's 1533-position model. The record is from RNAcentral. RNAcentral also lists the same sequence under 1 other name.